UACGUAGGUGGCAAGCGUUGUCCGGAAUUAUUGGGCGUAAAGCGCGCGUAGGCGGUCCUUUAAGUCUGAUGUGAAAGCCCACGGCUCAACCGUGGAGGGUCGUUGGAAACUGGGGGACUUGAGUGCAGAAGAGGAUAGUGGAAUUCCAAGUGUAGCGGUGAAAUGCGUAGAGAUUUGGAGGAACACCAGUGGCGAAGGCGACUAUCUGGGCUGUAACUGACACUGAGGCGCGAAAGCGUGGGGAGCAAACAGG
Molecule: ribosomal RNA, 253 nt
Filed under: uncultured bacterium
Lineage: Bacteria
Description: partial 16S ribosomal RNA
Rfam family: Bacterial small subunit ribosomal RNA
Source: RNAcentral